UUAUUAUUAUUAUUAUCAUCGUCAUCAUGAGAAUCACCGCCAUUUCUAUUCUUGAAUGACAACAAAGAACCGCUCUCUUUCAUAUUUGAAUAACUUGAAUGUAACAAGAAUUUAGAUUAUAAUGAUUAUUUUCACUAAUUUUAGAAAUUUGAUUAAACUUUGAGAUUGAAUCAAACGUCGUAUGAAUUAGUACUCAAGUCAAAUAUUGGAUUCUUG
RNAcentral lists this unclassified non-coding RNA (216 nucleotides) under Hevea brasiliensis (rubber tree). The record is from RNAcentral. Lineage: Eukaryota; Viridiplantae; Streptophyta; Magnoliopsida; Malpighiales; Euphorbiaceae.